GAUGAAGAACGCAGCGAAAUGCGAUACGUAAUGUGAAUUGCAGAAUUCAGUGAAUCAUCGAGUCUUUGAACGCACAUUGCGCCCGCCAGCCAUUCUGGCGGGCAUGCCUGUCCGAGCGUCAUUUCAACCAUCAAGCCCCGUGCUUGUGUUGGGGAGCUGCGGGCCCUCCGGGGCGCGCAGGCCCUGAAAUGCAGUGGCGGGCUCGCUGACACACCGAGCGUAGUAGCAUAAUUCUCGCUCUGGGCGUGCUGCGGGUACCGGCCGUGAAACGACCACUCGAGAGAGAGGACACCCAAAGGUUGACCUCGGAUCAGGUAGGAAUACCCGCUGAACUUAAGCAUAUCAAUAAGCGGAGGA
Molecule: unclassified non-coding RNA, 357 nt
Filed under: soil metagenome
Description: partial contains 5.8S ribosomal RNA, internal transcribed spacer 2, and large subunit ribosomal RNA
Rfam family: 5.8S ribosomal RNA (bases 1-121)
Source: RNAcentral